Molecule: long non-coding RNA, 625 nt
Organism: Asparagus officinalis (garden asparagus)
Lineage: Eukaryota; Viridiplantae; Streptophyta; Magnoliopsida; Asparagales; Asparagaceae
Exons: 4
Source: RefSeq, a predicted model, not a curated record
AUCAUAAUCAGAAAUGAAAAGCCUUAAACUUAUCGUCGGUUACGCGUUCCCUCCGGCAACAGGUUCAUCGGUUACGCUUCUCCUCAACCAACGCCGUCCCACGAUCUUAAGUCAUCAAAUGCCAAAGAUGGGUAUUAUUAUUAUCAUCAUCAACGCACCGCCUCUACCAUCAUCUCCACAGCUCUUAGAUUCUGACAACGUUUCAAGCGACGAGGGUUUCAAUAUUCGAAGGGCAGUUGGAGCGAGAUUAGAAAGAUUUUGGUGAAUAAGAUCACGUCCCCUUCAAAGACCUCAGCUGGGAUCUUGCUUUGCCAAGGCAUAUAACAUACAAUUGUAUUGAACACAGCACUGGGACUUGUUUGGCCAAAAGAUGUACGUAGAUUGUGAAAUUUUUGAAAUUACUUAUGUGAGUAAUUCUCCACCUUCAAUGUACAUGAUAUAUAGGUCCUUCUGUUGCUCAUUCCAAUGAAAUGAAUCUUGUGAACUUGUAGAAGAAAAUUGGACAAACCAACGUAAGACAAAGUCUGUUAUCUUCACAAAUAGUUCUGUAAUAAUUUUGAUUCACUUCAUUUAUUUUUUAUGUCAUAGGGAUGCUUGAAAAGUUAUGUUGAGCAUCCAACAUCUU